AGGACGAACGCUGGCGGCGUGCUUAACACAUGCAAGUCGAACGGAAAGGCCCGCUUGCGGGUACUCGAGUGGCGAACGGGUGAGUAACACGUGGGCAACCUGCCCUCAGCUUCGGGAUAACACUUGGAAACAGGUGCUAAUACCGGAUAAUAACCUUUCAUCGCAUGGUGGUUGGUUCAAAGUUUUUCGGCUGAGGAUGGGCCCGCGGCCUAUCAGCUUGUUGGUGGGGUAAUGGCCUACCAAGGCGACGAUCGGUAGCUGGUCUGAGAGGACGAUCAGCCACACUGGGAUUGAGAACGGCCCAGACUCCUACGGGGGGCAGCAGUGAGGAAUUUUCCGCAAUGGGCGCAAGCCUGACGGAGCAACGCCGCGUGCAGGAAGACGGUUUUCGGAUCGUAAACUGCUUUUCUCGGGGACGAGAACGGACGGUACCCGAGGAAUCAGCCCCGGCUAACUACGUGCCAGCAGCCGC
RNAcentral lists this ribosomal RNA (472 nucleotides) under uncultured bacterium. Its description in RNAcentral is "SSU rRNA". It matches the Rfam family "Bacterial small subunit ribosomal RNA", at positions 26 to 518 of the family's 1533-position model. The record is from RNAcentral.